UACGUAGGGGGCUAGCGUUGUCCGGAAUCAUUGGGCGUAAAGCGCGUGUAGGCGGUCCGGUAAGUCCGCUGUGAAAGUCGGGGGCUCAACCCUCGAAUGCCGGUGGAUACUGUCGGGCUAGAGUGCGGAAGAGGCGAGUGGAAUUCCUGGUGUAGCGGUGAAAUGCGCAGAUAUCAGGAGGAACACCAAUUGCGAAGGCAGCUCGCUGGGACGUAACUGACGCUGAGGCGCGAAAGCUAGGGGAGCAAACGGG
Molecule: ribosomal RNA, 253 nt
Filed under: uncultured bacterium
Lineage: Bacteria
Description: partial 16S ribosomal RNA
Rfam family: Bacterial small subunit ribosomal RNA
Source: RNAcentral